Non-coding RNA from Delphinapterus leucas (beluga whale), 3852 nucleotides. NCBI's taxonomy places the organism in Eukaryota, Metazoa, Chordata, Mammalia, Artiodactyla, Monodontidae. The record is from RefSeq and is a predicted model, not a curated record.
GAAGACGUGCCUUCCCUUCCCCCUUUCCUACUCUGUCUUCUCUCUUUUCCUCUUUCUUCCAUUGGUUAGAUCAGUGUUCAGAUGUUAGGGGUAAGGGGAGAGAAGGAAGUGGCCUCAGCUGAUUCCCCACACUCAGCUUCUCUCCCCGGAGAGAAGUGCGUUUGAGUUCUGGCCAAGGGCGUAGGAGCCAGUUACCCCCUGUGAAAGCAGGACAGAUAUCCAGCCCCCUUCAACCCUGCAGAGCUGGGCAGAGCUGUGGGGCGUGUGUGGAGGGAAUGGCAAGACACUGAGUGGGCUUGGGACCCUGCGAUGGGAGGGAAUGGAGGAAGCAGAGGCUUGACGUUCUUGGCUGUGCCUGGGAAAGUGAAACCAGCCUUCUCUGUGGUUUUCUGGCUCCAUCUCUGCUCCAGGUUGACAUGAGAGCUAGGUGGGAGGUGCAUCUGAAGGUCUGUCCAAGAACAAGUUUUGGGGAGAGUGGGUUGGCCUCUCAUGGCCCAGGGGCGGGUCAGAACCUCAGGAACUGUAAAUCCUGGACUCAUUAUCCCAAAGCGACAUGGGCCCCAUGCCGUGCCAGGUGCUGGGGGUGGAGCCGGAAGCCUGAGCACAUCCAGGUCUUGUGGGCUUCCCGGAAAAGACAGGACCGAAGAGAGACCAGAUGCAGGCCGUCACGCUCACCUGGACCUCUGCCUGCACAUCACACAGCUCUUGGUCCCGCUCCCGCCACCGAAGCAGCCAUCCCCUCUGUGCUUUCGUCUUCCUGCAGCAGCCUUUGGAUGUCCCUCCUCCCCAAGGUCAAGGCCACAGAUUCAACCAGACUCGAGAGCCGGGUUUGCCCUUUCUUGGCUGUUUGACCCAGAGCAAGAUGCUUCACCUCCCUUCAGCCUCAGUUUCCUCAUCUGUGAAAUGGGGAAAUUCGCUCCAGCCUUGUGUAGAGAGGACAGUGACAGAGGGGAACCCUGAUGUGAUGUUUCCCAACCAGUAUUGGUCCAAUAACACACCUGCUCUACCAACUGUAUCAUGAAGUUCUUCCAAUUUUUAUUUUUGUGUGUGUGGUGAAACACAGACAACAUAAAAUUUACCAUCCUAACCAUUUUUAAGUGUCCACACUUCAGGGGCAUGAAGUACAUCCAUAAUAUAGGGCAGCCGUUACUUCCAUCCAUCUCAGCACUCUUUCUUUUUAAAAAAUUUUUUUAAUUAAUUUUUUUAUUAAAGUAUAGUUGAUUUACAAAAUUUCAUUAAUUUCUGCUGCACAGCAAGGAGACUCAGUUACACAAGUUUAUACACUCCUUUAUUAUAUUCUUUUCCAUUAUGGUUUAUCCCGGGAUAUUGAAUAGAGUUCCCUCUGCUCUACAGUGGGACCUUGGUGUUUAUCCAUUCUAUACGUAACAGUUUAUAUCUACUAACCCCAGACUCCCAGUCCAUCCCUCCCCCACCCCCUUCCCAUUGGCAACCUCCAGAACGCUUUCCAUCUUGCAAAACUGUAACUGUCCCCAUGAAACACUAAUUCCCCAUUCCCUUCCACCCAGCCCCUGGCAACCACCAUUCUACUUUCCGUUUCUAAGAAUUUAAUUCCUCCAAGUAGCUCACGUAAGUGGCAUCACACAGCGUUCGUCCUUUUGUGAUUGGGUUCUUUCACCUAAUGUCACGUGAGAUAAGUUUCAUCCACGCUGUAGCCUGUGUCAGAAUGUCUUUCCUUUUUAAGGCUGAAUAAUACUCCUCUAUAUGUCUAGACCGAAUUUUAAUUAUCCUUUCAUCUACCAGUGGACACUGGGGUUGCUUCCACCCUUCUGCUGCUAUGAAUACUGCUGCUGUGAUCAUGGGUGUGCAACACCUGUCCAGGACUCUGCUUUCAGUCCUUUUGGGUACGUACCCAAAGUGGAAUUGUUGGGUCCUAUGGUUAUUGUAGAUUGCUAAAAUUUUGGUCAUUCAAGAAACCUGGAAAACGUAGUUUAUCUCUCCUCUGUGAAGAUAAUUCCUUGCUUCUGUGUCACUCUUGACAGUUUGCCAAGCACUGUUAUGCACUCCCUUCUCCGGGCACAGGUAGUAGCAAGAGCAGGGGACAGGAGUUUGGGGCCUGCGCAAGCGAACUUGAAGGUGGCUAAGGCUGGAGUGGGCGGGCUGCCACGUCCUCUCAACAUCAGCAGAGUGGCAACCUGAAGACCACAGAGGUUAGCCUUGGCGAGGGGCUGGGGAGGCAGGAGACGGCUCAUCAACAUCGUGCCCCAGCCUGGGCUGAGCCCUCCCAGUGAGUCCCAGAGCUCUCCUGGGAGGUGGAUGCAUUUUCCCAAUUGUGCAUUCCUUUGUUUCUGGAACAAAUGUCUGCUCUGUGUCUGGCAUUGUCUUAGGUGCUGGGGAUACUGGAGUGAGCCUGACAGGCAGUGAGCCCUCUUUCCAGGGGCUUCAGUUCUAAACGAAUAGCUCAGCACCAUAUUCCCAGUGUGUUGCCGGGUUUUGCUUUCCUACUGCUCACAACAAACUCUGUCUUCAUCUGACAGAUGGAGAGCCUGAGCGCAGAGAGGUUCAGUCGCUUGCCUGAGGUCACGGGGUGGGAGAGGGGUAGGGCUAGGAUUGCACCCAGCCUCCUGACUCCCUAGAAGGGGGAGGCAACACACGUGAAGGAUUCAGCAAAAUGACAACCCCAGCUACUGUAGGGGCUUGGAAGACGAUGGUGCAGGUUGAUGAGAUGGGGCAGGUUAAGGGGUUGGGAAAGGCUUUUGGAGGAGGUGACAUUGGACUGAGACCUGAGUGAUUUGUGAAGUCAUAUGACAGGAGGAGAUUAGGGACCGAUCACCCAUGCAGAGGCAUUGGCACAUGCAGAGGUCCCUCUGGCUUGGAUUCUGAGUCCUCCAAGGGCAAAAUGUAUUCUUCCUGUAAGCUGUUAAUAGGAUCCAUCUUACAAAUGAAUCACAAUAUUUGAGCUGCAUCCGCGUGCCGAGUGACACUUUGUCAAGGUUGUUUCCAAAAAGAUCUUUGGAUAAAACUAUAUUCAUUUAGAUUUGGCUACUAGAUCUUGUUGACUCAUGAUAUCUGUCAAGGUUUCCCAGAUUUCCAGCAGUCUCUAAAAUCGUGGGCGUGGGUCGCUGAAGGAUGUCCUUCAGAGGAUGCCGUGCACCGUAAUGGCUGACGUUCUCUGGGUCACGGGGCGGGAGCAGAGGCUGACAGCACCUUGGUCAGCGGUGCCUGCAGAGCGUACCAGCGCGGAGACUCUCCCACCCACCCUGACCUUGGAUUCACGCGGCAGCUCCUGCAAAACGACAGUCUCCUGCCUGCUGUGGGCUUCAGCUUCUCUGAGGAGCCAGGCGGGGGCCCAGGCUUUCCCAGGGGCUUUUGUUGAAUCUUUUGGGACUUUGUACCCUCAUGCCUUCUUGACAGAUGAGGAAACUGAGGCUUUCCCAUGGCCAGCGACUGUGCCGGGGCCGCAUCGAACCCAACUCUGCCCCAGAUCAGCUCUCUCAACCACGACAUGUACUGCAGUGCUAGAUUCUAGGUCACCUUUGCAAUUUCUAUCAAAAAGGAUCUGGCCAGGUAGAUAAUCUGAACAGUGCUAUGGUGGGUUUAUGUUCAAGCCCUUGAGGGGGAGCUGCUGUAAGGACCCGAGAACUGACAUGCCUCAACGGCAGCCCACUUUCAUCUGUUCAUUUAGUUGGUCCUUAUGGCUCAUGGAAUCAGGGCCCUGUCUGGGCAGCGCUUUGGGAGUUGAGUUUAAGGAGGCUGAGCUGCCUCACUGUGUGUGUCCCAAAGCAGCCAAUGUUAUUUUUCGAGGAGUAUUUGGUACUUCAGCAUUUUGACUAAAUCGGGCAGACUCGUUUCCUUUCCCAAAGUGGUCGAGAAUUUUUUUUUUUUUUUUUUUUU